Molecule: long non-coding RNA, 1038 nt
Filed under: Homo sapiens (human)
Lineage: Eukaryota; Metazoa; Chordata; Mammalia; Primates; Hominidae
Description: non-protein coding lnc-NRG1-2:9
Source: RNAcentral
CCAUGGCAAUUAAUCCCUUAGCUCAACUUGUUAUUUCCCUGUUUUCACAGGAACUCUUAUCACAAUGCUAGGCUCACACUGAUUUCUCGUCUGAACAGGCCUAGAAAUAAACAUGCUCGCCCUUACCCCAAUCUUAAUUAAAAAAAAAAAUCCCCGCUCUACAGAAGCAGCCACCAAAUAUUUCCUUACACAAGCACCACAUCUAUAAUUCUCAUGAUAGGUAUCCUUUCCAAUAACCUGUCCUCUGGACAAUGAACAAUAAACACUAUUAAUCAGUUUUCAUCCUUAAUAAUAAUAGUGGCCCUAGUAAUAAAACUAGGAAUAGCCCCCUUUCACUUCUGAGUCCCACAGUUAACCCAAGAAACCUCUCUAAUUUCUGGCAUACUUCUCCUCACAUGACAAAAACUAGCCCCUAUCUCGAUUAUGUUUCUAAUUUUCCCAUCAACAAACACGAACAUCCUCCUGUCUAUCACAAUCCUAUCCAUUAUAGUAAGCGGUUAAGAAGGGCUUAACCAAACAACUGCAUAAAAUCUUAGACUACUCUUCAAUCACUCACAUAGGUUGAAUAAUAGUACUAAUCUAUAACCCAAACAUUACCAUUCUAAACCUGAUUUUUUUUAACUUUUAACUUGCUUUAAUAAUUGGAUUCAAUUAAUAUCAGUAUUAUUCACUCAACCUUACAAGCACAACCCUGUCACUAUCUCACGACUGAAACAAAUUAACAUGGUUGACACCUGUAAUUCCACUAAUUCUAUCCCUAGGAGGUUUACCUCCAUUAACAGGGUUCCUGCCUAAAUGAAUCAUCAUCCAAGAAUUUACAAAAAACAAUAGCCUUAUUACCCCAACCAUUAUAGCUAUCAUAACCCUACUCAACCUGUACUUUUACAUAUGCCUAAUUUAUUCCAUCUCGGUGACGCUAUUCCCCACAUCUGGUAAUAUGAAAAUGACAAUUCAAAAACAAAACCCAUACUAUUCUUCCCACUACGUAUUAUUUCUUCUACCCUCCUCCUACCUAUGUCUCCAUUAAUACUAACUAUA